Molecule: ribosomal RNA, 444 nt
Filed under: Lancefieldella parvula
Lineage: Bacteria; Bacillati; Actinomycetota; Coriobacteriia; Coriobacteriales; Atopobiaceae
Description: bacterial SSU rRNA
Rfam family: Bacterial small subunit ribosomal RNA
Source: RNAcentral
GACGAACGCUGGCGGCGUGCCUAAUACAUGCAAGUCGAACGAUUAAAGCACCUUCGGGUGUGUAUAAAGUGGCGAACGGCUGAGUAACACGUGGGCAACCUGCCCCUCUCAUUGGGAUAGCCACGGGAAACCGUGGAUAAUACCGAAUACUUCGGGACUUCCGCAUGGAAGACCCGAGAAAGCUCCGGCGGAGAGGGAUGGGCCCGCGGCCUGUUAGCUUGUUGGUGGGGUAACGGCCUACCAAGGCAAUGAUGGGUAGCUGGGUUGAGAGACCGACCAGCCAGAUUGGGACUGAGACACGGCCCAGACUCCUACGGGAGGCAGCAGUGGGGAAUCUUGCACAAUGGGCGAAAGCCUGAUGCAGCGACGCCGCGUGCGGGAUGAAGGCCUUCGGGUUGUAAACCGCUUUCAGCAGGGACGAGGCGAAAGUGACGGUACCUGCAG